This is a long non-coding RNA of Pleuronectes platessa (European plaice), 915 nucleotides long. RefSeq lists it as uncharacterized. The record is from RefSeq and is a predicted model, not a curated record. The transcript has 3 exons. NCBI's taxonomy places the organism in Eukaryota, Metazoa, Chordata, Actinopteri, Pleuronectiformes, Pleuronectidae.
CCUCGAGUCACACGAUGAUGAAACUUGUGGCUUCACUGAAAACAACAGGUCUCCCGGUUCAGGCCGAACGAGAGGACUCUGAAAACGUUUGCAGCUUUAUUAAGUCAAAGAGCAUCUCGGAGCUGUCACGGCCCGCCCGCCACACGGGAGGAACUUCCCCUUCAGUCCUCGCCGUUACCCACAAGGCACCUGGACAGGAGAGCAUCGCGAUGGAGGCAGCGGUUGAUGUGAGGGAAAGACAAUCAGGCCCAGAUGUGACAGCAUGUUUCCCGUAUCAGAGACGAUUGGUACGCUGGGAGAGAACAAAAAGAAGAAGAAAGAGAGAGGGAGAGAGAGAGAGACGGGGGCUGCCACAGUGGUCUCGGCAUCUGUCUGUUCUCAACUGGUGUUGCGGCAAUGCUGGUGGGAGAAAAGCACACUCCACUGCACCAGAUGUCAUCGCCGAAGCAGAAUCACCGGCUCGCUUCAUCCCUCGCUCUUUAGUGAAGAUGAUUUUGAAUUCAUAUUGCCAAAAAUAAAAAUGAAAUAACAUUUUCAUUUUUUUUUUAAAUAUCAGAUGAAGUCUUUUGUCAGAUUGUGGCGGAGUAGGCUGACUCCACUCCUGUGAUCCUCCACAAACUUCUGCCACACACAUGCUCUCCACAUGGAUUGGCAUAGCACUGAAUAGUAGCUGAUUCUGUGCCGUUUAGAGGGAUCACUCAAUUUGUCUUAAUUUGUAUCUCAACAAGUUUAAACCAGAGAGUAUCCAUCCACACACGGACAGUUCACAUUCUUUUUUUUAGCAUUUUAGAAAAUCUGAUACGGGAUUAAAACCAUAUUUUUGGUACUUUUGCUUUCAUUGUAAGGUCAUAAAGGAUUUGGUCAAAUAUUAUAUUAGCCUGACUUCAUGUAAGUAAAAGUAUUUUCUUUCUUCUC